GCUGUUUUCACUUAGAGUGAUUCACAGGUCUAUUUUUACAUGUUUUUGGAGAGGAAGGAAGAACUUGAACUUGGCCUAGCUUGGUGACCGCCGGUGAGGUCAGGCAUGUCUACUGAGGGAAGGAGGAGAAGGUCCUCAGGAGGACUGCCAUUUCAGAAGUAUCAAAGACAGCUGUCUUGGGCCAGACUUGUGAAUGGGCAUGGUGAACCUGGAAGCAGGACUCGUGAAAGCAGUGGACAUCAGCAAGCGGUCAGGGACGGGGAGAGCAAGCAGAAAGAGAAGGCCACUUCAGAGCUUCCUGGUGAACAUACACGAGACAUUCUCUUAGGACAUCCGAGAAUAACUGGCUCUCAUCUGACCUGGGAGCAGAAGUCCUUCAGCAGCAUUUUCUGCCUGGAUUUCUACAUGUCCCAAGGACUCAUUUACCCUCACCAGGCCUCAUGUGUCUGCUGACCCCAAAUUCAUAGACGUGGUUGGCAGUGGGACAUGAGAAGGGGAUGCAGAUAAACGAUUUGGAAGUCUUGAACUUGAACUACAUGCAACCACAUCCUCUCUAUUCCACAUGUCAUCACAGGAAACUUCCCUCUCUCUGUGGCUGUGGUUUCUAGCACUGCUGUUCAUAAUGUGUAGGCAGAGUGGUUUAUCUUUUUUGAUUUAUUGGCAAGUUGCUUGCAUCACAUGGAAGCAGCUGAACUCUGUAACUGUGAACAUUGAAGGGAAGGAAUUUCCAUAAACGCUGUACGUUUUGCCAACACUGCUUCAGGGGAGGCCCACCCAUGGGUCUUUGAUAUUGCACUUGUGGUCACAAUUCUAUUCUUGUACAAUCUAUUAUGUCCAGAAUGAGGAAAAUGACAUAUUUUCUGGUCCACUAAUUCUUGUUAUCUCACCAAAAAUCAAGAGCCUCUCCUGUGCUACACAUUCUUUCCAUCUAGGGUAACCCAUUUCAAGCAGUUCCCAUUAAUAGCUUUUAAGUCCAUUUGGAUAUCUCAGUUUUAACUGAUAGCAGUAUAGGCACACUCUGCAACCUGUUUCUCAGGAUAUUUUUAUUAUAUUUAUUUUUAUUCACGGAGGACUUUUAAAAAAACGUUUGUUCCACUUAAACAUAGUGCUUAUAACUCAUUACUUUUGUAAAUUCUCUAACUGUAUUUGGCUCUUAUUUCACUAUCGUAUCUCUUUAAACACUUAUAUACUGAAUUCGAACAUUUCAGAAGCAUCAUUACAUGUAGGCUAAAUCUGAUUUUUGUUAAAUAUUCAUGAUUUCUGUUGAAGUAUAUUUUAUUUGAUAAGUAUUUGAUACUGUAACAAGAGCACUGGAUUUAAAAGCAAAAGGUUUAGGUUUAAAUUUUUCUCCUGCCGAGAAGUUGGUUAAUUCGUUAUCUGCAUGACUCUCAGUAUAUUAUUUAACCUCUCUGAACUUUGACCUCAAAGUUCAAUGAGAAUUCACGAGAAUGAAUGAGAAUGGAAUGAGAAGACCAACUUUACAGUUUUCAUACUGUUAGAUGUAAGAAAGUGGCUGACUCAUAAUAAAUACUCAAAGAAAUGUUAGUUGAAUUGUAAACUGUGAGGAAAUAUCUUGUACACAUAGUGAGUAAUAUAAGCACUGUUUUCAAGGAGAAAGUUUAAUCUGCCUAAGUAAGUAAGCAAACACUUUGAAUCACUUAAAGAAACUCAGUUUAUGGCCAAAGCGUUAAUUCACAUCACCGUUUUUAUCCAUUAUAUCGUGUCUGACUCUUCUCUGUUUCAGAAAGGUCUCCUAAUCCACGUUUCCAUUUCCUAUAACUGUGUUUACUCUAAAUUUUAUACUAACUGUUCUGUAAAAUGAUCUCAGAAUUCAGGCUUUGUGCCAAAUUAAAUUUCCCUUUGCCUCAAAUUAGGGAUAUCCAAUUGUAUUAAAAUGCCUUUAAAAAAAAAAAAAACAGAAAAAAGGCAAUAGAGGAUCAGAAGACUAGGGAAAAUAUUACAAUACUAGAUAACAAAGGAUUAAUGAAAUAUAUGUAUACAUAUACAUAUAUAAGUAUUUUAAAUAUAUACGACUGGUAAAUGCUGAAAUAGAAAAGUGAUUAAGACAGCGGUGGUGCUAGUUGGAAACAGAUGGCAUACCCAAAGCAGUAAUUGAAGAGAGCUCAAUGAUGGGGCUAUUUGUAGAGGGCUGGGCAGGUUAAGAAAACUGCAAGGAUGGGGAAGCAUCCGGGAAGCAACAGCAGAGCCCUUUUCCAUGCUUGGCCCGAAGGGGCAUGCUGGGAGCAAUGUUACCAGAACCUGCCUGUGAAAGGGGAGCUUCCAGACAAGAAUUGUGUCGAUAGACAGAGAAACACAGCUAUCGCCAAACCCUUGGCCUGACCUGGUGGAGGGGAGCAGGAGGCACUCCUGCCCUCUAACACCCUUCAGGGGUCAUCAUUGGACCAACCCAGCAGGAUGCUGGAGGGUUGGAGAGCCUGGGUGAAGCCCUCUCCUGGGACAUGGAGCAUAGCAGAGUGAGACUGGGGCAAAGUGAUCAAGGAGAGUCACCAGCCAGCAGGAGAGGGCGGGAGACAAACAGCAAUGGCUCAUGGAGAUGGAAAAAUGUUCAGUAUCACUAGGCUGCUGAUAUGUGAGAGAAUGGCAAUAUUUGGUGUGGGAAACAGCUGUUCUUCUGCUUUUCUAUAUUGCUGCUGUGAGAAUGCAUUGGUCCCACUUCCCUGGGAAGCAACUGAGCAGUAUACGGAAGACAUAUUGAAACUUUGCACUCCUUUAGACUUAAAUUUAUCCUAGAGAAAUGUAUCCUAAAGAAAUAAUUGGAAUACAGUCUAAAAAGAUCAUUGCACAAGUUCACAAAAAUGACUAUACAGGAAAGUUUAUCACAUCAACUAUUGUAAUAGCAAAAUUUGAAAGAUACCUAAAUGUACAGUAAUGGGGAUUGGCUAAAUUGCCACAUAUGUCUAUAUAUCUCUCUUUAAUAGUGCCAUAUUAUCGUAAACGUUAAGAAAGAUGUUGUAAAUCAACAUUUAUUGUCAUAGAAAAAGACUCACCAUAUGUUGCUAAAUGCACAAAGCAGUAUUACUAGUUUUUAGACUAGUUGAAGUCCAGGUUGCCUAAUCAGAAAGGGGAAAAGCUAGGGUUCUAAACUAAGCUUGAGGAGUGCCAUGGGCCAUGUGCUCUCCACUUUCCAAGUUCUUUGUGAUUCAUCCUUAGGAAGCAGACUAUGCCUAAGACUGCCAAAAGGAAAUUACACAAGGGUCUCUUGGGUGGGUUGGUGAGGUCUGUGGGGUCUCCUUGGCAUCAGAUUCUGGUCUCUGUUCUCUCUUGACCUGUCUCAGCUAUGACCAAAUUUUAGAAACUUAUAGAUCCCGUCAUCCCGAAAGCAUUUCAAAAGCAAGAGGUAGGGGAGAG
Molecule: non-coding RNA, 3369 nt
Organism: Equus caballus (horse)
Lineage: Eukaryota; Metazoa; Chordata; Mammalia; Perissodactyla; Equidae
Source: RefSeq, a predicted model, not a curated record